UUGGAGGGCAGUCUGGUGCCAGCAGCCGCGGUAAUUCCAGCUCCAAUAGCGUAUAUUAAAGUUGUUGCAGUUAAAAAGCUCGUAGUUGAACCUCGGGGUCUACCCAUUGGUCAGGCUUAAUUGUCUGCACUGGUGAGAUGGAUCUCUACCUUCUGAGGAACUUUCAUGCCAUUUAUUUGGUGUGAUGGGAAAUCAGGACUGUUACUUUGAAAAAAUUAGAGUGUUUAAAGCAGACUAUCGUCUGAAUACAUUAGCAUGGAAUAAUGAAAUAGGACGGACUGAUUCUAUUUCGUUGGUUUCUAGGAUCACCGUAAUGAUUAAUAGGGAUAGUUGGGGGCAUUAGUAUUCAAUUGUCAGAGGUGAAAUUCUUGGAUUUAUUGAAGACUAACUACUGCGAAAGCAUUUGCCAAGGAUGUUUUCAUUAAUCAAGAACGAAAGUUAGGGGAUCGAAGACGAUCAGAUACCGUCGUAGUCUUAACCAUAAACUAUGCCGACUAGGGAUCGGACGAAGUUAAUUUUAUAAUGACGCGUUCGGCGCCUUACGGGAAAC
Molecule: ribosomal RNA, 550 nt
Filed under: uncultured Glomeromycotina
Lineage: Eukaryota; Fungi; Glomeromycota
Description: SSU rRNA
Rfam family: Eukaryotic small subunit ribosomal RNA
Source: RNAcentral